Non-coding RNA from Plutella xylostella (diamondback moth), 1163 nucleotides. The record is from RefSeq and is a predicted model, not a curated record. Lineage: Eukaryota; Metazoa; Arthropoda; Insecta; Lepidoptera; Plutellidae.
GAUUUGAAGCUUGUGCAAUCAAAAUCAACUUUUGUUGUUUACUGUACUUUACUGUAACUGGAAGCAAUAAUGCUUCGAAUUUGCUGUAUGUUUGUAGUUAAAUUAUCUACGAGUAGGUAUAAUAAUGAUAAAGUAAUAAAGAAUAUAAAAGUGUAAUCAUGUUAAAAUUGCAAUAUUCAGUCAGUGUAAUAAAAAAAUAUUUAUUAAGUAUAGGAUUAUAAAUUUUAAUGUAAAAUCUCAUUCCUAAUAGACAAUAUUUGCCGAUAUGAUGACUAUUCGGCAAUAGAUUUGGUGAAUAAACUGACCACACAUGGAAGUUUUGCCAGUUACGCAAAUACGAAUAGCCAAGUGGGGUACGGUCAGGUUUCUCUGCCCCUUACGUACCAGCUUUCAAAGUGUACCGCCAGUGCGACGAUAUUGUCUAGUAGGCACGAGGGUUGCACAUUGCACGCAUUUAUAUCAAGUAUUCGGAAUGCACGCCUAAACGGCUGGUUUGAACUAGAUAAUGAUAAGUGUUGUGUUGUCGCCUACAUCUUAAAAGUGCCAUAUCGAAGUAUCGUAAUCAAUGGAUUAAUUUUAUGAGUUGGUCCUUUAACAUUUUAUAGAACAUUCGAUACGGUCUGAUGGUAUUGAAGGCGUCAAUACAAGAUAUGAAUGAGAAAUUUAAAUCGGUUAACCGCCUUUGUAACUUUGUUUAAAAUAGAUUUCUUCAGAAUGAAACUUACGUGAGCUGUGCUUAGGAUAGUUUCCGCUAGGGGCGCCACUUUGUAUACAAUGAGAAAACGAUAAGUGAAUUUUUCGUUUGAGAUGGCUCUAGCUUAUUUCACGGAUAAAAUAUCCAGCGGAUGCAAAUAAAAGAAGCUAGAUAUAAAAAGUGAAGUUAACACCCUGCAAAACUAUCCAUUUAGAAACAUACCAUAACUUACGAACUUUACGAGCUACGGUUCUAAAGAUGCAUAUGGCGACAAACGACUAAUAAAAAAACAUUAAUAAUGUAUAUUUCACAAUAGAGUUGACCUCAAAAGUUUUUUGGACAUGUUUUUGACAAUAAAAUAUGGUAAAUAAUAAAAUAAGUAUUAAUUAUUGUUUCAAAUGUGUAAUUUGUGAUUGUGUUGUACAUAUACAUAUACAUAUACUUCAAUAAAUCAUUAUAAUAUCAGUUA